Molecule: long non-coding RNA, 85 nt
Organism: Sinocyclocheilus grahami
Lineage: Eukaryota; Metazoa; Chordata; Actinopteri; Cypriniformes; Cyprinidae
Exons: 3
Source: RefSeq, a predicted model, not a curated record
GGGCCAGCUGGGGCUACAGCUUACAGCUACGACCUUCGAGGCCACAAUCAAACAGCAUAAACUGGUACAUGACAUCUCUUACUUC